AAAGGCUUGGUCCUGACUUUACUGUCAACUUUAGCUAGACUUACACAUGCAAGUAUCCGCGACCCUGUGAGAAUGCCCCACAGUUUUCCGCCCGAAAACAAGGAGCCGGUAUCAGGCACACCCAACUAAUAAGCCCAUGACGCCUUGCUUAGCCACACCCUCAAGGGAACUCAGCAGUGAUAAACCUUAAGCUAUAAGUGCAAACUUGACUUAGUUAAAGCUAAGAGGGCCGGUAAAACUCGUGCCAGCCACCGCGGUUAUACGAGAGGCCCAAGUUGACAGACAUCGGCGUAAAGCGUGGUUAAGGAAAAUUUAAACUAAAGCCGAACACCUUCAGGGCAGUUAUACGCAUCCGAAGGCACGAAGCCCCACCACGAAAGUGGCUUUAUGACUCCUGACCCCACGAAAGCUAUGAC
Molecule: ribosomal RNA, 416 nt
Filed under: Acanthocybium solandri (wahoo)
Lineage: Eukaryota; Metazoa; Chordata; Actinopteri; Scombriformes; Scombridae
Description: partial 12S ribosomal RNA
Source: RNAcentral